ACGGGACGGCUGGGCCGGGCGCGGCGCGUCCCCUCGCGGCCCACUGCGCCCUCGAACUCUGGGCCUCGCGAGCGGCGGGCGGCACCCGCUGUAAUGCGGGGAAUGUGAGAGAUAGAGAAACACAUAACUGAAAAUGAAAACGUUUGUCUGCAUACCACGAAACCCCCUUGUGCACUCCCAGAAGCAUGUGUCUCCUACUUUGGGAAACACAGAUCUGACUGAAACCUCUCUGCAGCAGCUCAGAAAGAGAUUUGGGACUUGGUCUGAGAGGUUGAGGAAACUGAGGUACAGAGGAAGAAGCUUUGCCCAGGGCCACGUGGAGGAGGGAGAGCUGGGAGUUAACUCGCCUCCUUGGACUUUGAGCUGAGCUUAUAUCCUGCACCAUGGAGGCCUCAGAGCCUUUCCAAGGAGCCAGAACUUCCUAGCACCCUCCCCUACUCACAGAGGACAGAGCGUCUGGUCUAGAGGAACCCUUGGAGAAUAUAUAAUGAAGGAAUAAAACAGGAUGCCUGGCCUCCUGCGCCCACAGGCCCUGAAGCUCCAGUGCCCACAGGUGGAGAGGGCAACUGAAUCCAGCUCAGGCUAAGCCCCACCCAGCUGUACUUCCCAGACACCCACCCAACCCUAGGAAUCCUGUUCAUCUUCUUCACCGAUAUGGUUUGUGGACUCUGAUGAGCCAAAUCUGAUGUCAGUUCUGGAACGUCUAGAAGAUACUAAGAACAACAAUUUGAAUAGGACAACAGAAGAAGUGACUUCAAAAGAAAAGGAAGAAGAGAUGGCUGAAGCUGCAGUGUCUGGGUCAGUGCAAGCUUCAGAUAGAUUUAUGAAAGAACUCGGGACCAUAUAUAGAUCACAGAGUUAUAAGACAGGUCCGUCGGAAUUUUUUUGUCAUCUUCCUGAUAGAGUGAACAUUUACAUGAUUUUUAUCUUCUGGCAAAAAGCUUGAACAAUAUUGCCUGGGUUGACCCUGACAGUGCUUUGCACAGUGAUCUUCAGAUUGUAAAAGAAAAAGAAGGGAUAGGAGACAUUUUGCUCAACUUAUCUUUUAAGAUUCAUAUGGGGGAAUGAAUGAAGCACACAGGCCUACAACAAAAAACAAAACACGAAAAAAACAGGAAGAUGGAGUCUCGCUCUGUCGCCCAGGCUGGAGUGCAGUGGC
Macaca mulatta (Rhesus monkey) is the source of this 1159-nucleotide non-coding RNA. NCBI's taxonomy places the organism in Eukaryota, Metazoa, Chordata, Mammalia, Primates, Cercopithecidae. The record is from RefSeq and is a predicted model, not a curated record.